AUGGAGGAGGAGUUCAUCAGCCUUGGCGACGAAUCUUGUGUAGCUCCCACUCCCAAGGAUAAGGAUGGCAUCAUACACCUCCAGGUCCAGCAAAACCAAUUCCAAGCCGUCCAUCUCGAUAUCAUGGAUGCACCACCACCACCACCACCACCACAGACACAGACUCAGCCACAAGACAAUGUCGACAUCAAUGCCAAUGCGGCUUCUUCUUGUGUUCCAGUUGAAAUACCCAAGGGCCGGACCACGGAAUCAGCUGUUCGUCUUGUCUACACCAACUUGACAAGGGAAAGCAAAAGGAAGCUCAUGGAGCUGAUGCAACAAUGGUCCCACUGCCAAGCUACUAGAAUUACAAACCAACCCAAUUCUUAUUCAACGGUUGAGGAUAUGGACCUCUCGGAUGACAACAACGUGCUCCUUGUUACAAAACAUGGUGUUUCAGCUGAAAUGGGCAAGGGCAGUGGGCCUGAGGCUGCCCUUGUUCAUGCUUCAAGAACGAGCAGCGCCCUUAUCGACCAAAGCCCCACAAGAGGAGAUAACAGAGCCCCGACGGAAUCAACUGAGCCUUCUGUUAGCCUAGUCUACAACAACUUGACAAGAGAAAGCAAGAGAGAGCUCAUGGAACUGAUGCAACAAUGGUCCGAGUGGCAGGCUACAAAACAACCCAACUCAACGGAAUCUGCGGAACAGGUCUUGGAUUGUGGUGAAGAGACUUAUUAUCCAGCAAUACAUGUUGGUUCAGAGAGACCUUGUGCUGUGUCAUUCUGGGUGGAUAAUAACCAAGCACGAGAAAAUGCUGCUGUGGAUGUGGAUGUGGAUGAUGGCGCGGUGCCCCUGUACGAUCGAGAAUUUACAUUGGGUGAUUCAUCAAAUGCUGAGAGCAAGAAAGAAGAUGAGAAGGAUGGUUGGCGGUGUCUCAACUGUGCUUCAUCUAGUCAUGCUCUCAAGGACUGCCCAAACCCUCACGACCAUGUUUCAAUUAGCAUGGCCCGCGAGCAGGUGAAGUUGAAAAGGAAAAUAUCUAAAGUUAUUCGUCAGCAAAAUCGGCCUCUAAAGCGCCGUUACCUCUGA
This 1068-nucleotide ribosomal RNA is filed under the name Triticum aestivum (bread wheat). RNAcentral's name for it is "partial small subunit ribosomal RNA". The record is from RNAcentral. Lineage: Eukaryota; Viridiplantae; Streptophyta; Magnoliopsida; Poales; Poaceae.